RNAcentral lists this ribosomal RNA (253 nucleotides) under uncultured bacterium. RNAcentral's name for it is "partial 16S ribosomal RNA". It matches the Rfam family "Bacterial small subunit ribosomal RNA", at positions 524 to 776 of the family's 1533-position model. The record is from RNAcentral.
UACGGGGGGAGCAACCGUUGUGCGGAAUCACUGGGCGUAAAGGGCGUGUAGGCGGUUCGGUAAGUGGAAUGUGAAAUCCCCCGGCUUACCCGGGGAACUGCAUCCCAUACUGCUGGACUUGAGUGCGGGAGAGGAUGGAGGAAUUCCUGGUGUAGCGGUGAAAUGCGUAGAUAUUAGGAAGAACACCAGUGGCGAAGGCGGCCAACUGGCCCGAUACUGACGCUCAUGUGCGAAAGCGUGGGGAGCAAACAGG